CCAACAGGGAUUGCCCCAGUAACGGCGAGUGAAGCGGCAGCAGCUCAAAUUUGAAAUCUGGGGUCCUCGACCUCCGAGUUGUAAUUUGGAGAGGCAUCUUCGGGGGGGAGCGCCGGCCCAUGUUUCCUUGGGACAGGACGUCACAGAGGGUGAGAAUCCCGUGCCUGGCCGGCUGCCUCCUCCCGCGUGGAGGGCCUUCGACGAGUCGAGUUGUUUGGGAAUGCAGCUCCAAGUGGGUGGUAAAUUUCAUCUAAAGCUAAAUACCGGCGGGAGACCGAUAGCGCACAAGUAGAGUGAUCGAAAGAUGAAAAGCACUUUGAAAAUAGAGUCAAAAAGUACGUGAAAUUGUUGAAAGGGAAGCGCUUGAGACCAGACUCAGGCCUGGGCAAACAUCGCGCCCCUCGGGGCCGUGCAAUUGCCUGGGCCUGGGCCAGCAUCAGUUGGCGUGGCGGGACAAAGGCGCGGGGAAUGUGGCUCCCCUCGGGGAGUGUUAUUAGGCCCGCGCUCAAUGCCGCCGACGUC
This 522-nucleotide ribosomal RNA is filed under the name Peziza subclavipes. RNAcentral describes it as "eukaryotic LSU rRNA". It matches the Rfam family "Eukaryotic large subunit ribosomal RNA", at positions 65 to 587 of the family's 3401-position model. The record is from RNAcentral. Lineage: Eukaryota; Fungi; Ascomycota; Pezizomycetes; Pezizales; Pezizaceae.